RNAcentral lists this small RNA (496 nucleotides) under Colletotrichum sp. MS-2015. Its description in RNAcentral is "eukaryotic LSU rRNA". The stretch from base 195 to 348 matches the Rfam family "5.8S ribosomal RNA". The record is from RNAcentral. Lineage: Eukaryota; Fungi; Ascomycota; Sordariomycetes; Glomerellales; Glomerellaceae.
UGAACCAGCGGAGGGAUCAUUACUGAGUUUACGCUCUACAACCCUUUGUGAACAUACCUAUAACUGUUGCUUCGGCGGGUAGGGUCUCCGCGGCCCUCCCGGCCUCCCGCCUCCGGGCGGGUCGGCGCCCGCCGGAGGAUAACCAAACUCUGAUUUAACGACGUUUCUUCUGAGUGGUACAAGCAAAUAAUCAAAACUUUUAACAACGGAUCUCUUGGUUCUGGCAUCGAUGAAGAACGCAGCGAAAUGCGAUAAGUAAUGUGAAUUGCAGAAUUCAGUGAAUCAUCGAAUCUUUGAACGCACAUUGCGCCCGCCAGCAUUCUGGCGGGCAUGCCUGUUCGAGCGUCAUUUCAACCCUCAAGCUCUGCUUGGUGUUGGGGCCCUACAGCUGAUGUAGGCCCUCAAAGGUAGUGGCGGACCCUCUCGGAGCCUCCUUUGCGUAGUAACUUUACGUCUCGCACUGGGAUCCGGAGGGACUCUUGCCGUAAAACCCCCA